UGGGGAAUCUUGGACAAUGGGCGCAAGCCUGAUCCAGCCAUGCCGCGUGGAUGAUGAAGGCCCUAGGGUUGUAAAAUCCUUUCGUUGGGGACGAUAGUGACGGUACCCAAAGAAGAAGCUCCGGCUAACUUCGUGCCAGCAGCCGCGGUAAUACGAAGGGGGCUAGCGUUGUUCGGAUUUACUGGGCGUAAAGCGCGUGUAGGCGGGUCGUUAAGUUGGGGGUGAAAUCCCGAGGCUCAACCUCGGAACUGCCUUCAAAACUGGCAACCUGGACCCAAGUAGAGGCAAGUGGAAUUGCGAGUGUAGAGGUGAAAUUCGUAGAUAUUCGCAGGAACACCAGUGGCGAAGGCGACUUGCUGGACUUGUGGUGACGCUGAGACGCGAAAGCGUGGGGAGCAAACAGGAUUAGAUACCCAUGUAGUCCCUGAGCGGGCUGGCAAGGCGCAU
Molecule: ribosomal RNA, 447 nt
Filed under: uncultured bacterium
Lineage: Bacteria
Description: bacterial SSU rRNA
Rfam family: Bacterial small subunit ribosomal RNA
Source: RNAcentral